AUUUGUGCCCCAGCAAAUGCGAUUUUUGUGUGAUUAUAUCAUGCAUUAUGCUUGGCCAUUCUUGUAUGCGACCCCUGUAUUAUGCGUUGGCUUUCACCACACGGGGCUGCCGAGUUACCCGACCCUUGUUGUAAAGAAAUUAGUGACCUGUGUAACACCAAGUAUAUGUCAAUAAACAGUAGGACAUGGCUAUAAUUAUAACAAAAACAAAAGAGCGGCGGACCAAUUGAUUGCCUAUCUCGUACAUGACGUGUGAUUGAUCACCAUGUGCUCGGUUGAAUAUUCCAAGCCUAGGAUUGGGGUGUGUUAAGCUAUGACCUUUGAUGCUCAUAGCACUUGUGACUUAUGCAUACUUUACGUUGUUUGCAGCUUCUUUUACAUAUGAUUGAGCCUGAUAAGAAGUUUUCCACUGAAAUUUACAUCCAAUUGAAAGUCGUAAGAAGGUUUCUACAUAAAUUUUCUUUUUGUGGAUAUACUCUUCUGUGGCAAUCAUCUUAUCGGCAGCAGCAUGACUGUACGUGUAUGGUUGUCAUGGCUCACCUUUUCUUUUUCCGCCAUGGCUCACUCGAAGCUGAUGUUGCAUCGCAAAUAGCUACAUCUCACCGAUGUCCACAACAUGAUUGUCGUCUCUUGAGCCAGAGGAAAAGCGGCG
RNAcentral lists this long non-coding RNA (652 nucleotides) under Setaria italica (foxtail millet). RNAcentral's name for it is "long non-coding RNA (SITA_LNC001982)". The record is from RNAcentral. Lineage: Eukaryota; Viridiplantae; Streptophyta; Magnoliopsida; Poales; Poaceae.